RNAcentral lists this long non-coding RNA (1052 nucleotides) under Homo sapiens (human). RNAcentral's name for it is "LNC_000677". Lineage: Eukaryota; Metazoa; Chordata; Mammalia; Primates; Hominidae. The record is from RNAcentral.
CAAUGCCUGGGGCAGGGGUGAGGCAGGCCAGGUGGCGCUACCUGUGUUGGUGUCCAGGGCGAAGGUCUCGGUCAGCUGCUCCCCCAUCCCUGCAGGGGCCUCCAGCCGGACGUUGAGGGGGCUGGGCAGCAUGGCCCGGUGCGUGUCCCCGCCAGCCCCAUUGUACACGCCGCUCACGUGCAGCGUGUCGUGAAACACUCGUGUGCCCAGCUGCUGCUUGGGUUUUCCAUCCUCCUGAGACCACCGGUGCAAUUCCCAAUUCCCAUCUCAACGCCACCGCCCACCCGGACGCCGCUGGGCUCAGCCCUGGGCCCGCUCGUCCCGGUAUCUCACGCUCCCUGACCCGGCCUCAAUGUCCUGACCACUCGGUGCAGCCGGAGACGCCGGGGUCCAGCACGUGCUCGGAAGCCUGCUGCUCCCACAGGGUCCCCAGCACAGGUGAGGACGACUCCGCCCGUCCCGCUGCCCAGGCCGUGAGCCCCGGUUUCUCUCUGUCACCCACACAGCAUCCAACCUAUGGACAGGUCCUGUGGCUCCACCUCCAACACGCCGUGGGCCCACACCUCCUCCUGGAGUGGCUCAGUCGCUCCCAACUUACGCCUUUGUUGAGAACAGAACCCCCACAACAUUUAAGGCAGGCCCUGCACUCUGCCCAGAAGGCAGCCAUGGCGCCCAACUCACGGAGGACGAUCCAAAAGCGCUCCUCACGCAAGCUCCACCCGGCGCAAACCCCCUCCUGCAACUGCCUGGGUUCCCUGACCUCAUCUCCUCCCCCUCCCCUACUCCGCUGCGGCUACCUGGCUUCCUUGCUGCUUCUGGAACUUUCCAAGCACGCAAGCUCCACCCGCAAACCCCCUCCUGCACCUGCCUUGGUUCCCUGACCUCAUCUCCUCCCCGUCCCCUACUCCGCUGCGGCUACCUGGCUUCCUUGCUGCUUCUGGAACUUUCCAAGCACGCAAGCUCCACCCGCAAACCCCCUCCUGCACCUGCCUGGGUUCCCUGACCUCAUCUCCUCCCCCUCCCCUACUCCGCUGUCGCUACCUGGCUUCCUU